UAUUAACUGGAGGAAGGUGGGGAUGACGUCAAAUCAUCAUGCCCCUUAUGACCUGGGCUACACACGUGCUACAAUGGACGGUACAACGAGUCGCGAAGUCGUGAGGCUAAGCUAAUCUCUUAAAGCCGUUCUCAGUUCGGAUUGUAGGCUGCAACUCGCCUACAUGAAGUUGGAAUCGCUAGUAAUCGCGGAUCAGCAUGCCGCGGUGAAUACGUUCCCGGGCCUUGUACACACCGCCCGUCACACCAUGAGAGUUUGUAACACCCGUGCCGGUGAGAUAACCUUCGGGAGUCAGCCGUCUAAGGUGGGACAGAUGAUUAGGGUGAAGACGAAGUAGUGUCCUGCCAA
This 348-nucleotide ribosomal RNA is filed under the name Levilactobacillus brevis. Its description in RNAcentral is "bacterial SSU rRNA". It matches the Rfam family "Bacterial small subunit ribosomal RNA", at positions 1157 to 1505 of the family's 1533-position model. Lineage: Bacteria; Bacillati; Bacillota; Bacilli; Lactobacillales; Lactobacillaceae. The record is from RNAcentral.